Molecule: ribosomal RNA, 497 nt
Filed under: uncultured bacterium
Lineage: Bacteria
Description: partial 16S ribosomal RNA
Rfam family: Bacterial small subunit ribosomal RNA
Source: RNAcentral
GAUGAACGCUGGCGGCGUGCCUAAUACAUGCAAGUCGAGCGAACAGACGAGGAGCUUGCUCCUCUGACGUUAGCGGCGGACGGGUGAGUAACACGUGGAUAACCUACCUAUAAGACUGGGAUAACUUCGGGAAACCGGAGCUAAUACCGGAUAAUAUAUUGAACCGCAUGGUUCAAUAGUGAAAGACGGUUUUGCUGUCACUUAUAGAUGGAUCCGCGCCGCAUUAGCUAGUUGGUAAGGUAACGGCUUACCAAGGCAACGAUGCGUAGCCGAUCUGAGAGGGUGAUCGGCCACACUGGAACUGAGACACGGUCCAGACUCCUACGGGAGGCAGCAGUAGGGAAUCUUCCGCAAUGGGCGAAAGCCUGACGGAGCAACGCCGCGUGAGUGAUGAAGGUCUUCGGAUCGUAAAACUCUGUUAUUAGGGAAGAACAAAUGUGUAAGUAACUAUGCACGACUUGACGGUACCUAAUCAGAAAGCCACGGCUAACUACGUG